Molecule: non-coding RNA, 88 nt
Filed under: Aurantiochytrium limacinum
Lineage: Eukaryota; Bigyra; Thraustochytrida; Thraustochytriidae
Source: RNAcentral
AGAGAGAGAAGAAAGGAUUAUUUCAAUCUCUUUCUUUUAUUUUCUUUUCUUUGUUUUUUUCUUUCUUUCUUUCUUUCUUUCUUUUUCC